AGAGUUUGAUCAUGGCUCAGAAUCAACGCUGGCGGCGUGCCUAACACAUGCAAGUCGAACGCGAAAGCCCCGCAAGGGGUAAGUAGAGUGGCAAACGGGUGAGUAACACGUGGGUGACCUGCCUUCGAGUGGGGGAUAACGUCCCGAAAGGGGCGCUAAUACCGCAUGAACAUCCUGCGUUUGAAAACGCGGUGAUUAAAGCCGGGGAUCGCAAGACCUGGCGCUUGAAGAGGGGCCCGCGGCCGAUUAGCUAGUUGGUGAGGUAACGGCUCACCAAGGCGACGAUCGGUAUCCGGCCUGAGAGGGCGGACGGACACACUGGGACUGAGACACGGCCCAGACUCCUACGGGAGGCAGCAGUGGGGAAUUGUUCGCAAUGGGCGCAAGCCUGACGACGCAACGCCGCGUGGAGGACGAAGAUCUUCGGGUCGUAAACUCCUUUCGAUCGGGAAGAACAGUUUCCGGGUGAACAAUCCGGCGAUUUGACGGUACCGAGAGAAGAAGCCCCGGCUAACU
RNAcentral lists this ribosomal RNA (516 nucleotides) under uncultured bacterium. RNAcentral's name for it is "bacterial SSU rRNA". It matches the Rfam family "Bacterial small subunit ribosomal RNA", at positions 8 to 502 of the family's 1533-position model. The record is from RNAcentral.